GAUGAAGAACGUAGCGAAAUGCGAUAAGUAAUGUGAAUUGCAGAAUUCAGUGAAUCAUCGAAUCUUUGAACGCACCUUGCGCCCUUUGGCCAUUCCGAAGGGCAUGCCUGUUUGAGUAUCAUGAACACCUCAACUCUUUAUGGUUUUCCAUGAUGAGCUUGGACUCUGGGGGUUUUGCUGGCUCACAGUCGGCUCCUCUAAAAUGAAUCAGCUUACCAGUGUUUGGUGGGUAUCAUGGGUGUGAUAACUAUCUACGCUUGUGGUUUUUCCACCAGGUAACCUUCAGCAGUGGAGGUUCGCUGGAGCUNAUAGAUGUCUCUCCUCAGUGAGGACAGCCCUUUGAAUGUUUGAUCUCAAAUCAGGUAGGACUACCCGCUGAACUUAAGCAUAUCAAUAAGCGGAGGA
This 405-nucleotide unclassified non-coding RNA is filed under the name soil metagenome. Its description in RNAcentral is "partial contains 5.8S ribosomal RNA, internal transcribed spacer 2, and large subunit ribosomal RNA". The stretch from base 1 to 121 matches the Rfam family "5.8S ribosomal RNA", at positions 35 to 154 of the family's 154-position model. The record is from RNAcentral.